RNAcentral lists this ribosomal RNA (432 nucleotides) under uncultured bacterium. RNAcentral's name for it is "partial 16S ribosomal RNA". It matches the Rfam family "Bacterial small subunit ribosomal RNA", at positions 29 to 507 of the family's 1533-position model. The record is from RNAcentral.
AACGAACGCUGGCGGCAUGCCUACCACAUGCAAGUCAACCGAAACUUCGGGGCUAUUGGUCCCCGGGUUGGUAAGGCGGGGGGAUCCUUCCCUAAGGUCGGAACUACCUCCCCGAAGGGGUUGCAAUCCCCGAACAUGAUCUCCGACCAAAGAUUUUUCGCCCUUGGAUGGGUCCGCGUUGGAUUAGCUAGUUGGUAGGGUAAAAGCCUACCAAGGCGACGCUUCAUAGCUGGUUUGAGAGGAUGAUCAGCCACACUGGGACUGAGACACGGCCCAGACUCCUACGGGAGGCAGCAGUGGGGAAUAUUGGACAAUGGGCGAAAGCCUGAUCCAGCAAUGCCGCGUGAGUGAUGAAGGCCUUAGGGUUGUAAAGCUCUUUUACCCGGGAUGAUAAUGACAGUACCGGGAGAAUAAGCUCCGGCUAACUCCGUG